This 665-nucleotide long non-coding RNA is filed under the name Sus scrofa (pig). Its description in RNAcentral is "lncRNA (ENSSSCG00070007440.1)". Lineage: Eukaryota; Metazoa; Chordata; Mammalia; Artiodactyla; Suidae. The record is from RNAcentral.
GCCUGCCUGCCUGCCUGCCUGCCUGCCUGCCUGCCUGUGCCAAGAAGCCUACCCGAAUCGAGGGAAGAGAGAACGAUGCCCGGGAGCGCCUUAACUUCACGCCGGGCGCAAGGGCGGAAGGGGGCCGAUUGGUUGACAGCCGGCUGCCUUGCCUUAAGAAGCAGGGCGUCUGAUGUCAAGCCGCCUCUCCCUCUGCCGACUGCCUGCCUGCCUGCCUGCUGCCUGCCUGCCUGUGCCAAGAAGCCUACCCGAAUCGAGGGAAGAGAGAACGAUGCCCGGAGCGCCUUAACUUCACGCCGGGCGCAAGGGCGGAAGGGGGCCGAUUGGUUGACAGCCGGCUGCCUUGCCUUAAGAAGCAGGGCGUCUGAUGUCAAGCCGCCUCUCCCUCUGCCGACUGCCUGCCUGCCUGCCUGCCUGCCUGCCUGCCUGUGCCAAGAAGCCUACCCGAAUCGAGGGAAGAGAGAACGAUGCCCGGGAGCGCCUUAACUUCACGCCGGGCGCAAGGGCGGAAGGGGGCCGAUUGGUUGACAGCCGGCUGCCUUGCCUUAAGAAGCAGGGCGUCUGAUGUCAGUGAGUGGGGCGGUUUCGUUGGGGGCGAGAGGCCUGGCCGACCUUGCGAGGGUCUUCCCACGCCCCUGGUGCAUUUCAACGUGCGGCGAGGGUGA